GCCUCGCAAGCUCAACAGGUGGAGCGCCGGCGUGAAGACCCGGAGGUUGCCCGUUCGAACCGGGCGCGAGGCACC
RNAcentral lists this transfer RNA (75 nucleotides) under Actinocatenispora sera. Its description in RNAcentral is "tRNA-Phe". It matches the Rfam family "tRNA". From Rfam's summary of the family: Transfer RNA (tRNA) molecules are approximately 80 nucleotides in length. Lineage: Bacteria; Bacillati; Actinomycetota; Actinomycetes; Micromonosporales; Micromonosporaceae. The record is from RNAcentral.